GCACCUGGCACCUGCCCUUAGCCCCAGCUGGCCUCAAUUACCUGGCUGCCAGGAGACAAAGACCUCGUGUGCCUCCCGUGCCACGACCUCCACGUGCAGCCCUUGGGCGGGGGCAGGGCAUGGCGCAAGGCAUAUCGGGAGCCCCUCCCCAGAGCCCAGGAGUCUAUUAAUUGGCGGCGUGAGGGAAGGAGGGAAACGCUCCCCUCGAGGUGCGGCCGGCUGAGCAGGUGAAGGUCCGGCAGCCACAGCCCUGACUAUGGUUCAGAGAAGGCGGUAGCGUUGAACCUGUCCUCUCCAAGACCCAGCGCAGAGGCCUAAGGACGUUUUAAAAACUCUGCUUCAAAACAUGGUAGUCCAGAAGGAACAGAGAAUUGAAGGAAAAAAUAGGCAGAGUUAACGAAAGAAAGCUGACUAUCUGAAGACUUCACUUAUGAAAGUAGAAAACUCAUAUGGAGCCCUGGGAACUCGGCAGAGUAGGGGUCUUUGUACAUAAUGAGGGAUAUUCAGGUUCAACAGGAGAUGACAGAAGAACAAGAUGAUGGAGCAGUGGCCAGUGGGACAGGAGGGUGUGAUUAUGUCAACAACAAAGGCAAACUUGAAGAGCAAAGCGUAGCAGUUAAAGAUGUCUCCGUGCAACAGGAACACACAUUUGUGGCAAGAUCAGAAGGAGCUGGGCUUCUAGCAUCCAGGGUGAGCCCUGACCUGGCUGAGAGCAUAGCAACUGGCACACCCUCCUGCUGUGGGAAGAGUCGGCCUCAUGGGUGCCUUCUCCUUGGUUUUCCUCUUCAGAUAUGCAGAAAAGAAGUUCCUUCCAUGUCUGACAGCUUUCUCAAGGUCAGUGGAGUGAUUCUUUUUUUUACAGUAGAAUUUCACUUAUUUUGAUUUCUAAGAGGAAAAAAAAAAUCAAGCCUCAGUGUGUAUUCUCAGAGAUUUGUGCCAGGUCUAUUAUCCGGCCCCACUUCUCAGAGAUCCUUAACUCUGCUGGCCCUGAACAUGGUUUACCAAUGACAAUGGUGCCAGUGAACAGAACUGAGGUAAAGGAAAUUGAUUAAGUCUUGCAAUUAGUAGAAUAGGCUCCAGCUAGCACUGCAAUAGAGUAUAUAUCGAGGUAUUUGGACUGAGAUCAAAUCUUAAUAUCAGGUCUUAAUAUCUUAAGACCUCUACGAAAUGGCCUGGUCUGGAAGGUUAUGCAAAAAUUUCUAGGAUGAGGACUAACUUAUGGGCAUUUGAAUGUUUGAGGUAGUGAGGUGAGAGGAAAUCAUAAUUCAUGAGCUAUUUUCAAACCAGAGAAGUAUUAGAAUAUGCAAAUAAAUGUAUAUGAAUGAGAAAGAGUUUCAUGUGAUGUGAAAUUUUGAAAUGUGAUUUUACAGUUUGACCUUAAUUCAAGUAUGUUUAUGUAUGUGUAUAUUAUAUAUAUAUAUAAUAUUAUGUUAUGUUAUAUUAUAUUAUUUAUGUAACACACACACACAAAUAUAUAUAAACAAAGCAUGUCUUUAUUGUAAAAUAAGAAUGUCACUAACCUAUAUUUGGGAUUUACAUUUUUAUUAAUCCUUGGUUAUAAUGAAAUUAGGUUAAUAAGUGUUGUUCUAUAGCUUCUGGAGUGACAUGUUUGUAACAAUGUAGGAUCAGAUGAGUAAACUGAGAAUGAUGAAUAUUCAUUUUCAGGUGUUUUUCACUAUUACAUUAAAAAAUAUAAUAUUCCACCAAGUGGGUUAUUACUGAAGUUCUUAUGCUAAAAAUUAAAUACUUAAUAAUGACAUCUAUCUGGUACUUUUGACAUAUAUGAGUAUCUUCAGUAGCCUCAAGAUACAAUCUGAAAUUAUCAAAACAUGAAAAAAAAUUAUAGGACUAAAAUACAGAGACAUAGAUACAAGUAAAGAAGCAACCUAAAACUGAGGUUAUUUGGUUUGACACCUCUCUUGUCUAGUCUGAUUGGUUUAUAUGUCAUAAUUAUUUCUUAUUGUUUCUUAAAAGAUUAUUACUGCAAAUAUCAUAAAAUGAUAAAUAACCCUAGAAGUUCCCAAUAGUAGAAGCAGACAUGUUAAACAUGGAAUUGUUUUAAAAGUCUUUGGUUAAAGACCUUCUAGAUACUGUGUGGAAACCAGCUCAGAUCAGAUCAGCAGACACAAUUAUUGUCAUUUUUUUUUUUUUUUUAAAACUACAUGUUUGCCGAUGUCAGGGUGUAGCUUGAAAGUGACGAUGGUGGAACUAUUUACACCACAGAAAUUGGCAAAUGUUAAAAUACCAGGCCUUUAUUUUUUUCUUAAUUUCUUUGAGUGUUGGCUAUUAAAUAUUUUGCAGCAUACUAGCAGAUCAGUGUAAUAAAUUAAAAAAAAAUUAACAUUAUGUAGAAUCAGUUAAAUAUGUGUUUUAUUUGUUGCUACAUAUGGGGUAAGGAUAUAAAGUUGCUUUUAGUUAAAUACUUAAAGAUGUCUACUAAAAGAGAAAGCAUGAAACUUACUAACUGGUACAGUGUCAAUAAUGAGAUGCUUUGCAAGUACUGCUUAAAAUUUCCUCAUGGCAAGGUAAGUUAUAUUUUAAGAAAACGAAUGUAAAUAAGUGUGAAUUUAAGUUCCUUCAUAAAAGUCUCUUUGGAGAAAACAAGUCAUCAAACCUCGGUUUCAUUUCCUUAACUUAAAGGUUAUUUAAUGAAAGUGUAGUCUUGGUAAGUGUACAUGUUUUUUAUGAGACACUCUAUCAGAAUUAUAGGUGAAUAAAGUCUUUAAUGAUAUAAACUGCAUUGCUAAAAGGAUAAAAAGUAGAUUGAAAGUUAAGAUGAGUCAGAUUUGGAAAACAAGUUAAAAUGAAACUCAACCUACAUUAUGCUUAUUUCUCAAUAUUUUAUCAUUUAUAUUAUUUAAAGGACCAUGAUUAUUCUGUUUCAAUUUAAUGCUUCAAAUGUGUCCCUUUAAAACUUUGCUAUUUUUGUUAUUAAAACAAUCUUCUAAUAUUUAAUUAGAGAAGCAGCAUUUCUAAUUAUUUCUACUUAAAUUUUAUGUUUCAAUCUAAACAUGUUUUAUGAUUAAAUUAAGCAUGUAUCUUCAGUGAUAUGUAGGUCACAUACAACUUGCCUCUUUUAAACUUAAUGACCUAAUACAUUCUUUUAUACUUUGUCCAGGAGUUUUGACUCCUUCUAAAUAAAUUUAAAAAAAAAUUUUUCAACUACCAUUUGUUUAUAUAUACAUGACUAUUUCAUAUCUGUAUUGAAUUAACAAAUCAUUUCAAAUGAUUUAAAUAAGCAAUGUAUACAGUAACAUAUAUUGUUUUAUUAUUUUGCUUGUAAUUUAGACAAACUUAAGAUUCUACCCUACUAGGGGAAAAAAAAAAAAAAAAAGUAGACACCAGCCAUAAAAUCCAUGGAAUGGAGAACAGUCUUCAUUGCCUGGGAAGAAGAUUGGGAUAACUCUGCUGAGUUAGAAUAACGGGUAGUGAUGUUCUCCAUUGAAAGUGGUGUAUUUUAAAGUACAAAACAUCAACAGAUUUCUCACCUUGGGACUAGGACACUUCCCCAAUAGCAUGAACCCUUUAAAAUUGCAAAAUUUAAAUAAGGUGGAAAAUUAAUAUAAAUCUUUUGGAUAAAAUCCUAGAUUUCCUAGAUCUUCAAAAAAGCUAUUAUUAAGUACCUCCUAAAAAUGAGUUGUCUUAGAGUUCAGAGGAUAGAGUAUUUGCCUAACAGCAUUGUAGCAAAGAUUAGAGAGCAUGAAUGGAAAGACAAUAAUUAAGAAGCAACAAUCAUUAGCUGCUUUCUUGAUUUGCUUAGAAUUUGUGAUCUAAAGGAACAUUUUCUCAUAUAUCCAUUAUUGUUGCUCUCUAAAUGCUAUAUUAAUAGCAUAUUUAUUUUAGAUUCUGCUAGCUACAGUUGGACAAAGUUUUAAUAAACUCAGAUAAGAAAAGUGUAAUGUUGAAUUCCUCUGCAGCAUUCCUGGCUAAUUUCCCUCCACCUUUGCUUUCUUUUCCUGGCCUCAGAGUUCAUUCCCUCCUAGCUCUGCCCUAUAAAUUAGAAGCACUUUUAUCUGAAGCUGUCAACCCAGUCCUUCAAAGAUUAUUCUAAACUAGUCAGCCUUAUCUAUAGGGAGGGGCAGGGAGUGGCCUGGGGCACUAAUGUUUUCAAAGGGCUCUCAGAGCAUUGAGGCUGUAAUGAGAGGGAGUCUUGUCAAAUGUGCUCCAAUUAAAUGUUACAGACUUCCCCCAGGAACAGCUUCUUUCUUUUGGGAAUUUAGUGCUGUUUGGUAACUUGAUUCCUGGGGCUAACACAGUAUUUUUUUUUUUUUUUUUUCCCCUGACAUGACAGAAGAGAGUAAAUCCAAAGGAAGAUAUUCUUUCCUAUCUUGUCAGGACUCAGAAAUUCACUGCCAACACAAGUCAGUUUGUGCUCAGGCGGCUUUCUUAGUAAAUGAUUCUAAGCAAAGUGAAAGCUUACGCUUUGCUGUCAGCCUCAAGAGUUCCAGUCCUUACACUGACCUAGCCGACCUGUGUGACUCAAGAGACCCCUCAAUGAGAGGGGCUGUGUUUACAUUUAUUCACAAUUGACCACUCUUCUCCUACUGGCUUUAAAAUAUUGAAGCAUACAUAGAAAUUCACACACACACACACAAACUUGCUCCUAGAAUACAUUAGAUUUCCGCACACUUAGUGAAUUUCCACCAACGGUUGUAAAUGAUUUUAAAAUAUAUUUUAAAUACGUAACUCUACCUUUUCAUUUGCUUAGAAUUGCUAGUUGCAAGGAAGCCUAAUUUUGAUCAAGUACUUCACCCUCUCCAUUUCUUCAGGCAACUGGAGACUACUUAACUUAUAAACAGCUAAUUGUAUUCAUCUUAAGAUACAACUGAAGUGAAAUAUAGCCUAUUUUCUUAACUUUAUGUAAUGGCAGUAAUAGAAGUUGCAAACCACAUUUUAUUCCUAAUUAUAGAAUUUGACAGUAUCCUUAGAAAAUCAAAAAAUUAGAACAGUAAAAUGUUCAGAUAAGAAAUAUCAGAGUUCCAGUAAUAUGUCAGAGCGUUAAAAACAUGCUUAAAAUAUCGUAAUUCAUAACGUAAUAUUUUUAAAAUACAUUUUAAUCUAAAGGUAAAAAAUACCUGAAAUGUAAUCCUGUUUUUAUUUUUUAUUUAUUUUUUUAAAUGUUUAUUUAUUUACUUACAGAGAGAGAGACAGAACAAGAGAACGAGCAGGGAAAGGGCAGAGAGAGAGAGAGAGAGAGAGUGAGAGGAUACAAAGCAGGCUCUGCACGGACAGCCCUGACUCAGGGUUUGAAUCCAAGAACACUGUGAGGCCAUGACCUGAGCAGAAAUCAAGAGUUGAAUGCUUAACCAACUGAGCCACCCAGGUGCCCUACAAGCUCAGUCUUUAUUGGCUAAUUUAAAGUGGAAGAGUAGGAAUUAGGGCAUGGGAAGGAAGGAAGCAGGGCCACUCAAGCAGCUAUCUAGAUUUUCUAAGGCUUUCUAAGGGGUACUUCAAGGGUGGAAGCAGCCUAAUUUCUUAUCUGGAUAUUUUGCUAGUAGCUGUAUCACACAGCGGGCAGUAUUUUUAUUCAAGAUGGAUGUCCUUGAAAUGGAUGCCUGGCAAUCAAAAGCAUGAUGUCAGGCACCUACACUGUGGACAGCUUUUCUCUCUGUUCCAUAUGGAUUGACACUGGGCUGACAUAGAAGGCUGAAAUAUUCAAGGUGAUAUCAUUACUCAUCUGUUUUUUACUCAAUUGGAAUGACUAGAACAGUCCAGGGCUGGUCAGACAUCUCUUUCUCUUUUUCCCACAUGGCCUCCCUAUGUGGCUAGCUUGGGCUUUCACACAGCAUGAUGGUCUCACAAUUUCUUACAUGCUAACUCCAGAGCACAAAGUUGGACACUACCAAGCAUUUUAAAUGCUUGUUCAUAAAAGUUCCAGAAUGCUACUUCCUUUUAAUUCUGUUGGUCCUAGUAGUCACAAGGUGACUCAUUCAAAAGAUGAAAUAGACUUCAUCUCUUGAUUAGAGAACAUUAAGGUAACAUUGCAAAAGAGCACAUGGAAUGGGAGUUGUAUCAUUUUAGGACACAUGGUCUGCCAAACUCUUUAAGAUUGAUUUCUAUGAAAGAUGACAAUUCAUUCUAGCAUAACCAAGAGUUAAAUGUGAUAAAUAUGCUAAAGAGAGAAAUAUGAGUCACUGAUAAAACCUGAAUUGUUGAGGGAAAAGUCAGAGUACAAGAUGGAGUUUCUCAUUAAGAUUUCUCUAAGUUCCAGGGGUGCCUGGGUGGCUCAGUUGGUUAAGCACCCAACUUCGGCUCAGGUUGUGAUCUCUCAGUUCUUGAGUUUGAGCCCCAUGUUGGGCUCUGUGCCGACAGCUGGGAGCCUGGAACUUGCUUCAAAUUCUGUGUCUCCUGCUCUCUCUGACCCUCCCCUGCUUGUGCUCUGUCUCUCUCUUUCUCUUGCAAAAAUAAAUAAACAUUUAAAAAUUUUUUUAAAAAGGAUUUCUCUAAGUUCUAUAUCCAUCUCUUCUUAGACUCAUAUUUAUAUUGUGGAUUAAGGGGGUAAAAUAUAAGUAAAAUUAUUUUAAUAGUACUGCUUCAUUAAAAAUCCUGUAAGACAAAAAAAAAAAAAAAAUCCCAUAAGGCAUACCAUCACAAGUAGUACUGCUUUGGUAUUCUUGUGGAAAAAAUAUUAAUAACAAAGUGGCAGAUAAGUAUCUUUCCCCCUAGUGCAACUUCUACAAUUCAACAAUUCCUAAUAGCACACCUCCCAUUUAGGUAAAACCAAGACUCUAACUGAUAGCUGGCAGAAAUGGAUAAUUUAGUGGACAUGGUGAAUGAAGGUAGAGGAAUCGGCAUCCACAUCCACAAUCUUUCCGCUGUGAUAUAGUUUCCUAUACUACAUAGGUUAGUUUAUAUUUCCCAGAGUCUGGGAAAUAUCUAGAGAUAUUCAAGUGAGUCAGGUAUAAAUAUAAACAAUUCCAUAAGGCAGAAAGAGGCAAGAACCAUCUUGCUGUCCUUUUUUUCUUUUUUUUUUAAUCCCCCUGCUCAUUUGCAGGCAUGAAGAUAUUAGGCAUUUUUACAACAGCCUUCCAGUGUACAGUCACUGGCUUUGCCGAUGUUGAUAGUCUUUGCAGUGGCACAAUGUUUAUCUGAUCUAUGGCUUAUACCUAGACAUCAUGUAAUUGAAAUCAAGAGUUCCAGUGCCGGGGAUAGUUUCCUGAUUCCUACCUUCCUGCAUAGGGUUAGUCUAGAAUCCACCCAUCUAGUUCUUCUAAUAAUGUCGCUAAUAUCUAAUCCCUUGAUAGUAAAUUAUUUGCUGCUUGAAACUGUUGAAAUGUUUUUUCCUUCCUGUAGUCAAAUUCUGCCUAAGAUAGCCAGUAUCAUAUGUGUUGAUGGGGAAAGGGAGUUCUCUUACCUGGUGACCCAGUACCAUGCAAGAACAGCAUGCAUGGCACCCAGCAGGGUCAGCUGUCCUUGUGAAGUGAAGCAAAAAUAGUCAAGGAAAGCCACUGGGGUUUUGUAAGGUAGCUGACCAGAUUUCCCCUUAAACACCUGUGAGAUAACUGAGAGAGAUUUUAACAGAAAAAUUUAAGAGACUACAAAAGAGUACACAACUACCAGUUGUAUAAAGUUCUGUCUUUCUUAAAUAAGUGCUUUUGGAUUAAUUCUGAGAAGCAGAUGGAAAGAGUUGGCAUUUAGGACUGGUUCAAUAUUUUUUUAAUAACUUUAUUGAAAUGUUGAUGUAUAAUUUGUAUAUUAGAAUAUACACCUCAAUAAAUUUUCAUGUAAGUAUAAUACAUUGAAACCAUCACCUACAUCCAAAUAAUGAAUAUAUCCAUCAUCCAUAGUGGUUUUCUCAUGACCUUUGGAAACUCUCCCUCAUGUCUUCCUUGUGUCUGUUCUCAGCCCUCUACUCCACCUCUAGCAUCAACACCAGCAACAACUGAUCUGCUGUCACUUUAGAUUAGUUUGCAAUUUUAGAACGUUUUAUUUGUUUUUGAGAGAGAGAGAAAGAAUGAGAGCGCAUGAAUGAGAA
Molecule: long non-coding RNA, 7975 nt
Organism: Felis catus (domestic cat)
Lineage: Eukaryota; Metazoa; Chordata; Mammalia; Carnivora; Felidae
Exons: 5
Source: RefSeq, a predicted model, not a curated record